Nerophis ophidion (straightnose pipefish) is the source of this 2421-nucleotide long non-coding RNA. RefSeq lists it as uncharacterized. The record is from RefSeq and is a predicted model, not a curated record. The transcript has 3 exons. Lineage: Eukaryota; Metazoa; Chordata; Actinopteri; Syngnathiformes; Syngnathidae.
CUCAGCUUUGGACAAAUACCACAUUUUGGGGCUGCAGGGGUGUGCUCUUUAACAACCUUUCUUCUCCAAUGUCUUUUAAGUUCUUUUUUUUUUUUUUUAAAAAGGACAGACGUUGAGAGGUUUCUACCCCUCAACCUCAGCCAGUGAAGACAAUCGAUAUAUUUCUUUACAGACAGACAUCAUUUUGUAUUGCAUUAUUGUUUCUUUUGUUAAUAUCAGAGUCAAUUCUGCAAAAACCACACCGCUUAUGGACAGAGACCCACAGACAAAGAGCAGCUCGAAGACCUCUAUGAAGAAAACCAAUCAUGGAUCCAGAUUUCACUCGCCCGGAGGUGUGGCACGAUGGCGAGCGCCUGGUGCCCGGGUCUGUUCCCAGCAACACAUUCUAGGUGAGGGAGGAAAAAGCCUGCCAUCAUCCAGAGUGGAAAAAGCAAUAAAAGCUUUGAGUCCAAUGGGAGGAAGAAUAGUGUAUAUCUCAGUGGCUGCGGCGUGACAUGUUUUGCAGGAGGACCUUGGCCAAUGGCGGUGUGUCUCUCCUGCGAGCUCAGAGUGCCAAACAAGAUGUCCUCCUUAACCGUCACACUGAAACUGAACUAAGUUGUUGACACCGUUUGCUUUAAGAAAAAAAAAAGUACAAUUUGCAGCCGAUUAGAGCCAGCUGCAGCACAGUAUUCUCUGUGCGCCUAAUGUACGGAAUAAUUAUGGUUGUGCUUACCGACAUCAAAGCUAUUUUAUUUACAUAGUGAAAUGAUAAGUGUGACCGGUUGAUGGCAGUCUGUCAGGUUCAAACACUGAUGACAUCUAUUAAACAGACAAGAAGCAAGGAAUCAUGCAGAGACAGAGUUUAAUUUUGCUCAAUGAGGAGAAUGCAUGGAGCUGCACACUUAGUUACAGUCUCGCCCUACACUCUAAGGUACAGCUCCCGCGUCCCUCUAUUUAUUAAGGAAUUCCCCAGUCAACAUCACUGAGGCCACCUCUGAAAGGAGUGGUUGCGUAUCAUCCAAAGCAGCUCCAGUACGCACAAUACGUGACGGAGUGUGCCGGCGGCCUUGUGGUUUCGCCUUGUCUCUGCUUCGUCUGCGUUAUGUUGUCUUAUCUUGGUUGAGGUCCUUGAAGUCCUUGGCUGUUGGCGGGCUAAAACAAAGAUGACAUCUGCAGCUGCAGACAAGAGGUUUUGUCCUUGUACAGAUAGAAAAAGUACAGCUUGAGCACAAUUGCUAAUAACUAUAGCAACAGACUUUAAGCAUACUAAAGUUGUGUGAUGACUUACACAUAAUUAUUCCAACGCAGUCACACAUAAGAGAUACAUGAAGACUGCAAUAUGACUCAAGUAAACAACACCAACAUUUUAUAUCGUCCAUUGAAAAUAUAGAACAUUACACACGGCGCUCAAAAAUCUAUUAAAAUGUUUUAGUGCGUGUAGAGGUUGCCCUCUAGUGGGUUCCUCGGACCACCACACACGGCCACGAGAGCCCGGGUUUCAGGGUACAACACUGGUUCAUUUGCAUAAAUAGUGCGAGGCUUUUACUUUCCACCAAAAUUUAUUUUCUGAAUCCAUGUCUCGCUCUCUCACUCUGGCUCCCACUCCAACUCUGUGUCUCGUUCCAGCUGCUGCUAAUAAAGGUGACAGGUGAUUAGAUAACAUGGCCCACGUGGGCCGUCUAGUCACCUGUCGCUGUCUUCAAGGCCGGUCCUUCCACACCCUGUUCCGCGGCAGGCCUGCAGGUCACGCCUCCCUCCACAGUACGACUUUGGUAAGCUGUGAAGCCGCACCGCUUGAUGGAUUGUUCUGUUGUGGGGGGUGGGGGGACCUGCGGACUUGCAGCGGAAUGGGGUGUGCAAGGACCGGCUUCGAGAUCAGCGACAGGUGCGUAGAUGGCCCACCUGGGCCUGCUUAUCUAAUCACCUGUCACUCUGUUAAAAGGCAGCAGCCGGGGAGGAGAGAGGAAGUGGAGUUGGAGCACUAGCGAGAGCGAGACAGACCAACGCAAAGACAAUUGCUGAAAAGCACGUCAGAGACAAUUUUAUUGCAAAAUAAAACAGUGUUCUCAACCCUGAAAGGAACUGUCAUGUCAGUGCUUGGUGGGCCGAAGAACCCGGAAGGGAAAAACCUCCACAACUGUGCUUCAACAUAUGAGUAUUAUUAUAGUGUGUGUAUAAGGUAAGAAAUAUUUCCUGGCGUUUUGUUUCGCAAUAUUAUGCAAAAGAAACUUUUCUUACCUUCUGGUACCUGCUGAUCUGUGUUUGGGAAACUGAAAACUUGCACGCGUCCGCCUUUGUAGUCUGUGACGAUGACGUAGUGGAUAAGCUUCUUCUUUUUCUCUAUCUUCUUGUUAUGGGAUAUUCUUCCUCCACUGUUGCCAUUUCUAAUAUAAAGUAGUGUCAAGUUCAAACUUAUAUCUGUCAAUAAACUCAUCAUGU